Molecule: ribosomal RNA, 824 nt
Filed under: uncultured bacterium
Lineage: Bacteria
Description: bacterial SSU rRNA
Rfam family: Bacterial small subunit ribosomal RNA
Source: RNAcentral
AGCGAACGCUGGCUGCAGGCCUAACACAUGCAAGUCGAACGGAUCCUUCGGGAUUAGUGGCGGACGGGUGAGUAACACGUGGGAACGUGCCCUUUGGUUCGGAACAACUCAGGGAAACUUGAGCUAAUACCGGAUAAGCCUUUCGAGGGAAAGAUUUAUCGCCAUUGGAGCGGCCCGCGUAGGAUUAGGUAGUUGGUGGGGUAAAGGCCUACCAAGCCGACGAUCCUUAGCUGGUCUGAGAGGAUGAUCAGCCACACUGGGACUUAGACACGGCCCAGACUCCUACGGGAGGCAGCAGUGGGGAAUAUUGGACAAUGGGCGAAAGCCUGAUCCAGCAAUGCCGCGUGAUUGAUGAAGGCCUUAGGGUCGUAAAGCUCUUUUACCAGGGAUGAUAAUGACAGUACCUGGAGAAUAAGCUCCGGCUAACUCCGUGCCAGCAGCCGCGGUAAUACGGAGGGAGCUAGCGUUGUUCGGAAUUACUGGGCGUAAAGCGUACGUAGGCGGUUAUUCAAGUCAGAGGUGAAAGCCCGGGGCUCAACCCCGGAACGGCCUUUGAAACUAGGUAGCUAGAAUCUUGGAGAGGUCAGUGGAAUUCCGAGUGUAGAGGUGAAAUUCGUAGAUAUUCGGAAGAACACCAGUGGCGAAGGCGACUGACUGGACAAGUAUUGACGCUGAGGUACGAAAGCGUGGGGAGCAAACAGGAUUAGAUACCCUGGUAGUCCACGCCGUAAACGAUGAUAACUAGCUGUCCGGGCACUUGGUGCCUGGGUGGCGCAGCUAACGCAUUAAGUUAUCCGCCUGGGGAGUACGGUCGCAAGAUUAAA